Molecule: ribosomal RNA, 894 nt
Filed under: uncultured archaeon
Lineage: Archaea
Description: bacterial SSU rRNA
Rfam family: Archaeal small subunit ribosomal RNA
Source: RNAcentral
GGAAUUGGGGGUCGCUUAGGAUGCUAGUCGACCGACGUUCCAUUAGGAGCGUAGGGGCGGACAGCUCAGUAACACGUGGCUAACCUGCCCUCGUGUGGCGAAUAACCUCGGGAAACUGAGGCUAAUGUGCCAUGGGCGGGGGGUUCUGGAACGACUCCUCGCUGAAAGUUCAGGCGCACGAGGAUGGGGCUGCGGCCGAUUAGGUAGUAGGUAGUGUAACGGACCACCUAGCCUUCGAUCGGUACGGGACGUGGGAGCGUGAGCCCGGAGACGGGUACUGAGACAAGAACCUGGGCCCUAAGGGGCGCAGCAUUCGCGAAAACUCCCCAAUGCGCGAAAGCGUGAGGGGGGGACCCCAAGUGCCAGCACAAUGUGUUGGCUUUUCUGGAGUGCAAAAAGCUCCAGGAAUAAGGGCUGGGUAAGACCGGUGCCAGCCGCCGCGGUAACACCGGCAGCCCAAGUGAUGUCCGCAUUUAUUGGGCUUAAAGCGUUCGUAGCCGGCUUGUUAAGUCCCCGGUCAAAUCCGACGGCUCAACCGUCGGCUAUCUGGGGAUACUGUCAGGCUUGAGGCCGGGAUAGGUCAGAGGUACUCCUGGGGUAGGGGUAAAAUCCGAUAAUCCUGGGGGGACCACCAGUGGCGAAGGCGUCUGACUGGAACGGGCCUGACGGUGAGGGACGAAACCCUGGGGAGCGAUCCGGAUUAGAUACCCGGGUAGUCCCAGCUGUAAACUAUGCAAACUCAGUGAUGCAUUGGCUUGUGGCCAAUGCAGUGCUGCAGGGAAGCCGUUAAGUUUGCCGCCUGGGAAGUACGUACGCAAGUAUGAAACUUAAAGGAAUUGGCGGGGGAGCACCACAAGGGGUGAAGCCUGCGGUUCAAUUGGAGUCAACGCCGGG